Molecule: unclassified non-coding RNA, 257 nt
Filed under: Hevea brasiliensis (rubber tree)
Lineage: Eukaryota; Viridiplantae; Streptophyta; Magnoliopsida; Malpighiales; Euphorbiaceae
Source: RNAcentral
UACAAGCUUAUAAGCAUUUAAAAUUGUAAUCAAUUACGUGUUUGGUUGUGUCACUAUCUAAAUUAUAGGCUGGACCGAUACUAGGACUGUCACACCCCGGCUUAGGGGGCCCCAGCUCAAGCCCCUCUAGUGAGCCUUCUUGCCAGCGUACCCUUCUAGAGGCCGGACCUGCGACUCACAAGGUACUGUCCGCUUUGUGGAAUUAAAUCCCUUCGCCCUGCAGAGCUAGGAUUCGAACCCAUAUCACCUCACGGUUU